This 1303-nucleotide ribosomal RNA is filed under the name Maruca vitrata. Its description in RNAcentral is "16S ribosomal RNA". Lineage: Eukaryota; Metazoa; Arthropoda; Insecta; Lepidoptera; Crambidae. The record is from RNAcentral.
AAUAAAUUUAUAAAUAAUAAAAAUAAUUUUAAUAUUAAAAUGGGGGUUUUAGUAUUAAUAAAAAAAAAAUUAUAAGUUUUAUAGUAUAAUAGUAUUGUAUAAGAAAUUUUAAAUAAAUUUGAAAAUAAAUUUAUUUAAAAGUAAAUUUUAUUUAUUGUAUCUUGUGUAUCAGAGUUUAUUAAUUAAAAUUUUAGUUAAAAUAAUUCUCGAAUUAAAAAGAGAUAAUUAAUUAUAAAAGUUAUUGUUGCAUAAAUAUUUUAAAUAAUUAAUUUGAAAUGAGAUGUUAAUCGUUUUUUAAGAUAUCUAGUUUUUUUAGAAAAAAAUUUAAUUUUAUUUUUCUUUUAUAAUAAAUUAAUUAAUUAAUUUAUUAUAAAGAAAAAAUUAUAUUUUAAGGGAUAAGCUUUAAAUUAAAUAUUUAUAAUAAUAUUGUUUUUAAUUAAAAUUUUUAAAAUUUAUAUUGUUUAUAAUUUUUAAUUUAUUAUAAAUUAAUUUUAAUUUAAUUAAAAUUUAAAAAAAAAAUUUAAUUUUUUAUAAAAAAAUAUUUUUUAAUAAAUAAAGAUUAAAUAUAAUGAUAAAAUUAGUAUUUAAUAAAUAAAUAAUAUUAAUUUAUUGAAAAAUAAAGUUAAGUAAUUCGGCAAAAUUUUAUAUUCACUUGUUUAUCAAAAACAUGUCUUUUUGAAUAAUAAUUUAAAGUCUAAUCUGCCCCCUGAUUUUUAAUUAAAGGGCUGCAGUAUAUUGACUGUACAAAGGUAGCAUAAUCAUUAGUCUCUUAAUUGGUGACUUGUAUGAAAGAUUGGAUGAAAUAUAAACUGUCUCAAUUUUAUUAGAAAAAUUUAAUUUUUUAAUUAAAAAGUUAAAAUAAAUUUAAAAGACGAGAAGACCCUAUAGAGUUUAAUAAACGUUUUUAUUGAAAUUAUUUAUAUAUUUAAUAAUUAAAAUAAUAAUAUUUAUUUUGUUGGGGUGAUAAAAAAAUAUAUUUAACUUUUUUUUUUAAAAUUCAUUAAUAAGUGAAUAUUUGAUCCAAAAUUAUUUUGAUUAGAAGAAAAAAUUACCUUAGGGAUAACAGCGUAAUUUUUUUUUUUAGUUCAAAUAAAAAAAAAAGUUUGCGACCUCGAUGUUGGAUUAAGAUAAAAUUUAUAAUGCAAAAGUUUAAAAUUUUGAUCUGUUCGAUCAUUAAAAUCUUACAUGAUCUGAGUUCAAACCGGUGUGAGCCAGGUUGGUUUCUAUCUUUAAGCAAAAAAGAUAUUUUAGUACGAAAGGAAUAAAUAUUUAAAUUAAAUUUAAUUGAAGAAUUUUAUUAAUA